RNAcentral lists this ribosomal RNA (466 nucleotides) under uncultured bacterium. Its description in RNAcentral is "partial 16S ribosomal RNA". It matches the Rfam family "Bacterial small subunit ribosomal RNA", at positions 28 to 507 of the family's 1533-position model. The record is from RNAcentral.
GACGAACGCUGGCGGCGCGCCUAACACAUGCAAGUCGAACGAGCGAGCGAGAGCUUGCUUUCUCGAGCGAGUGGCGAACGGGUGAGUAACGCGUGAGGAACCUGCCUCAAAGAGGGGGACAACAGUUGGAAACGACUGCUAAUACCGCAUAAGCCCACGACCCGGCAUCGGGUAGAGGGAAAAGGAGCAAUCCGCUUUGAGAUGGCCUCGCGUCCGAUUAGCUAGUUGGUGAGGUAACGGCCCACCAAGGCGACGAUCGGUAGCCGGACUGAGAGGUUGAACGGCCACAUUGGGACUGAGACACGGCCCAGACUCCUACGGGAGGCAGCAGUGGGGAAUAUUGCACAAUGGGGGAAACCCUGAUGCAGCGACGCCGCGUGGAGGAAGAAGGUCUUCGGAUUGUAAACUCCUGUUGUUGAGGAAGAUAAUGACGGUACUCAACAAGGAAGAGACGGCUAACUACGUG